RNAcentral lists this ribosomal RNA (441 nucleotides) under uncultured Actinomycetes bacterium. Its description in RNAcentral is "bacterial SSU rRNA". It matches the Rfam family "Bacterial small subunit ribosomal RNA", at positions 340 to 793 of the family's 1533-position model. Lineage: Bacteria; Bacillati; Actinomycetota; Actinomycetes. The record is from RNAcentral.
UACGGGAGGCAGCAGUGGGGAAUAUUGGACAAUGGGCGAAAGCCUGAUCCAGCAACGCCGCGUGAGGGAUGACGGCCUUCGGGUUGUAAACCUCUUUCAGCGGGGACGAAGCGAAAGUGACGGUACCCGCAGAAGAAGCACCGGCCAACUACGUGCCAGCAGCCGCGGUAACACGUAGGGUGCAAGCGUUGUCCGGAAUUAUUGGGCGUAAAGGGCUCGUAGGCGGUCCGUCACGUCGGGAGUGAAAACUCGGGGCUCAACCCCGAGCCUGCUUCCGAUACGGGCGGACUAGAGGUAGGUAGGGGAGAACGGAAUUCCUGGUGUAGCGGUGGAAUGCGCAGAUAUCAGGAGGAACACCGGUGGCGAAGGCGGUUCUCUGGGCCUUACCUGACGCUGAGGAGCGAAAGCGUGGGGAGCGAACAGGAUUAGAUACCCUGGUAG